UUACAACAUCGACUUAACAAGAAAAAAAAGUUUCACAACCUUGAAACACAUAACCAACAACAUCUAAACCGGCAACACGGGGCACUUCCAUAGUACAUACUAAUUCUAAAGUGACACUUGAACAAUACUCUUCUAUGAUUGGCUGGUUUUUUUUUUGUUUUUUUUCCAGAUUAGUGUCCUCGACACCGACUCUAUUACCCAAUAAAAAUUGGAUUGGUGGCCAUCGGCUCUUAACCCGAUAUCCCACCGCCGAUCGAUUGAUAUCACCCCGAUUCAUUGUUUUCUUCUCCAUUUGUUCAUUGUUUUACCUCCGUCCUCCUAUGUCUUCCCGAGUUCCAUCUUUGUCUAUUUCACUUCCCUUCUCUCAAUACUGAAGCACUGCUACUGGUAGCAUCCCACCACCUCACGAUGUCAGUCCACUUCUUCAUCUUCACCGUCAUUGCUUUAUUUUAAUCGAUGAUGUGCUGUUGUCAGCGACAAUAGAUUCGCUCCACUGAAUCAAUAUGUGAGCUUUGUCUCCGUGAAGGAGAAGCAAGAACAUUUUGAUUAGAUCGAUUCUCAUCAUAAAACCUCGAUUUCUUGCAACUCCAUCAAAAUUAUUGUACGAAUGCCCACCGCCUACGUUACGAAAACACUUCAGGUAAGUUGAUCACUUCCUCACCUCUCUUAUUUUCUGAUCAGAAUCUACCACCACCUCCAUUGAUUGCGGACGUUUAUUUGGUCUUCGAUCGACAAAAUCGCUCACUUCCACAGCUUGUCGCUUCUUCCGUUUUCUCCACCGGCUUCAGGAAUAACAUCCUUAUGGCCAUUAUCGACCGAUUCUUCUAUUCUACUUCUAUUCUUCUGCCGAGUACCUUGGACUUUACCACACCAUUUGUCUUCGUUUCCCUUUUCUGGCUUCCAAUUAAACGAUUACACUUUGAUUCUAGCGAGGUUACUCCACCGUUCAUCAUCUCCACCGCCUUAAUUAACUGUCACAUCGCUAAAACCCUCUCAAAUAGAUGGUUGGAACCCGCUCCUUCCACUCGCCUACCUACCAAAUCUCUUCUUCAACAUUCGUCGCUUGCUUCAUUGAGAUAUGGCAGAGGAUCGUUCUUCAUCCUUUAUUUUCUGUCCAUUUGGUUUUGUUGCUUAAGCCCUAAUUUGUAUUUGAAUAAAAAUCCGUCUUUGUUUCUUAAAUUCCACCAUCGAUGUUGAUGUUAUGUCAGAAGCUCCAAAAUCAGUCCCCACCAUGGAACCGUAACACUGUCAUUCCACAAUCGCCAUUGAAGCCGAGUUUAGUUUUUUUAUUGAAGAAUCGAUUGAGGCGUUAAAUCAAAGUUGUUCUACAUCUCUGAUUACAAGUCAUCUCCAUCUUCGUUUGCUUAUCUGCUUUCGGUAUAUUACUGAGGGUAUUGUCGUCCAUCGUUUCUAUCAUAAGAUUGGAGUCGCUACCAAAAGACUUCAGGGAGAAGAUUAAAGUGAAGAAAUAUUAUGCAGUUGCUAUGUUUCUUAUCUUUCUGAGUUAGAGACAUAUAUCAUAGAUCAUUAUGUAUUCUUAUUUUGACAAUUCAUGAUCUGAAAUGAAGGAAAUAAGAUUACUUUAUUGCAAUAGUUGGACAUAGUUGCCAAAGUUUGGAAUUGAAAUCAAAAUUAGUGAUCAAUUGAUGUGAUUUUCUUCCGUAUUGAACAUGAAACACGCUACAAGUGGACAUAUGAAUACAAACAGUAGUUGUAAGUUAUAGUUUAUAAUCUGGAUCUUUUUACCACUCAAAUCUCUACAUGUGGUAUGACUGUCGGUUGUUUAUAUUCAUCUUUGAUUACUGUGUGAUUUAUAAAAAAAUUAUAUAAUUCUAAGAUUAAAAGUUUGUCAAUAUCGUUGUAUAUUGCAAACACAUGUUUUUUCUUACACGAUUUCAUUUUUUUGUUCAAAUAUAUGAACCUAAUCUUUAUAACUUUUGUGUUUCUGUUUAUAUUAUAUUUGGAUGUGCACUCUCUAUUGACAGAAGCUCCUGUUGCAAAGGUUGUAUGAACUUAUACUGCGAAAUUAUACUCCCUUUUAGUGUGUUGUCUGCAAAUCCACAAUAUAUCAUGGUAUAAAGACUUGAAAAUUUGUGUAAUUUGAAUAGUUUGUGUAUGAUUAUUAAAGUUUAUUGUUAUUUUAAAGUUUAAAGUAAGGCCCAAAACUAAAAAUAGACAUGUAAAAAUGGAAAUAUUUUUCAAUCUAUACCUUUCCUGUAUUCAACAAGAUUUAGGUAAGUCUAUUUUUUUCUUUUUUGUAAUUUCAUUUUGUUUUAAAUCACUUCUACCCUUAUAUGAUCUUACAUUUUUUGAUAGGUUUUGUUCAUCGCUCUGCCAAAUACCCCAUCGGGUAUGUAUUGGUACUAUUUGAACCCCCGACCGAGCUGCAGUUCUGAUAUGUUCUUAUAUUUUUUGAUCACAAGACUAGAAUCAUUGUAUCCAAUGUAUUGAAACAUACAAUGUCGUGAAGAUUAACUUCCAACUUUGUGUAGCUACCAAAGAUUAAAUUGUAAAUUUAAUUGUAUCAAAUUAAAUUUUUAUGUUUCCUA
Long non-coding RNA from Lactuca sativa (garden lettuce), 2549 nucleotides. RefSeq lists it as uncharacterized. The record is from RefSeq and is a predicted model, not a curated record. NCBI's taxonomy places the organism in Eukaryota, Viridiplantae, Streptophyta, Magnoliopsida, Asterales, Asteraceae.